This 3224-nucleotide long non-coding RNA is filed under the name Mytilus galloprovincialis (Mediterranean mussel). Lineage: Eukaryota; Metazoa; Mollusca; Bivalvia; Mytilida; Mytilidae. The record is from RNAcentral.
CUUAAGUAUUUUGUUUAUAAAACUUGCAGCGUAUAUUACAAUUUACAAUGAGUAUACAAUGAAGCACGACUGUAUCGAUAGUGAAUACGGACGUUCUAAGUAUUAUAGAUGAUUUAUGUAUGCUAUUGAUAGUGAAUACGGUCGUGCUAAGUAAUAUAGAUGAUUUAUGCAUGCUAUCGAUAGUGAAUACGGUCGUGCUAAGUAAUAUAGAUGAUUUAUGAAUACGGACGUGAUAAGUAAUAUAGAUGAUUUAUGAAUACGGACGUGCUAAGUAAUAUAGAUGAUUUAUGAAUACGGACGUGCUAAGUAAUAUAGAUGUUUAUGUAUGCUAUCGAUAGUGAAUACGGACGUGCUAAGUAAUAUAGAUGAUUUAUGUAGUAUAUCGAUAAUGAAUACGGACGUGCUAAGUAAUAUAGAUGAUUUAUGAAUACGGAAGUGCUUAGUAAUAUAGAUGAUUUAUGAAUACGGACGUGCUAAGUAAUAUAGAUGAUUUAUGUAGCUAUCGAUAGUGAAUACGGACGUGCUAAGUAAUAUAGAUGAUUUAUGUAUGCUGUCGAUAGUGAAUACGGACGUGCUAAGUAAUAUAGAUGACUUAUGUAGUAUAUCGAUAGUGAAUACGGACGUGCUAAGUGAUAUAGAUUAUUUAUGUAUACGGACGUACUUAGUAAUAUAGAUGAUUUAUGUAUACUGGAAUUGAUAAACACGCUCAAUAUCUUUUUUAAACUUUUAUAAUAUUUAUUUUUUUAAUUUUUAAACAUAUAUUACCUCACAAUUGUUACUUAAAUUGUUGCGAUGUGUAUAUGAUGUAGUAUUAAUUUUUUUAUCAAGAAUCUGUAUCCAAUUUGUUAUGUCAAGUUACUUAAAUAAAAUAACAAAACUAAUGUGUAGAAGAAAUCAGUUCUGAAAUCUGAAGAAAAUUAUUUUCUGCAGUAAUCGGUUACAGGGUAUUGAGAUAAUGUAAGUGAAUGUUUCACCACACCAGCGUGACAAUCAUCACAAGCAGAUUUUUAACGGUUAGUCAGACAACUUCACACUGUGUUGACACUUAAAAUUACAAGUGUUCUUGACACCAUAUCGCGUACAAUUUUGUAAAAGUUUUUAGGUCAGUUGAAGAAGAAGCACCAAUAAUAAGUCGGUGAUGUUUUGAAAUUUGAAAUGCAUGUGCAUUACCAUUUAUAAAUCUCAUUUUUCGUUAAAAUUUAAUACGUUGACAUUUUAUAUGCAGUAGUAUAAACAUUAAUUUGAAUUUUCUCAUGCCAAUUGAUAUUAUUUGGUCAGCCCCUCAGUCAUAGUCGAUUGACUUUAUUUUUUUUGGCAUAUUUAACAUAGUUGAAGGGAUUCGUGUUGCUUAGCGUUUAGUUUUCUAUGAUGUGUUUUUGAACUAUUGUGGGUGUGUCUGUUUGUCCUUUUCCUUUUUUUUAACCAUGUCGUUGUCAGUUUGUUUUGGACUUAUGAUUUUGAAUGUCCCUCUGAUAUACUUCGCCUCUCUUUUGACACGUAGCAGUUUGUCAUUAGGCUAAAAAAAGGAGUAUGGUAAUAACUUGAUGGUUAUAAAGGAAUUUUAUAAGAAAUUGAGGGUAUCACCAGCCCAGUAGUCAGCACUCCGGUGUUGACAUGAAUAUCAAUUAUAUGGUCUUUUUUUUCUAAAUUUCCUGUUACAAAAUUUUGAAUUUUUCGAAAACCAAGGAUUUUCUUAUCCCAGGAAUAGAUUACCUUAGCCGUAUUUGUCACAACUUUUUGUGGAAUUUUGGGUCCUCAAUGCUCUUCAACUUUGUACUUGUUUGGCUUUUAUAACUAUUUUGAUCAGAGCGUCACUGAUGAGUCUUAUGUAGACGAAACGCGCGUCUGACGUAUGAAAUUAUAAUCCUGGUACCUUUGAUAACAAUCAAGUAUGAUUUUCGUAUGAUUUUGUGUUUGUUUGUUGUAACAUAAUUAUUUUCCCUUGUAUUAUAUUGUUUUGUACAUAUAGUCUACCAUUGUUACUGUUUAGAAGUCAGCACUUGCAUUUAACUAUCGAAAUAAAUUAUACACAGCUGUCACCAAUUUAUUAAAAUUUAUAUCAUAUUUUCCUUUAUACAUUAUAAAUAAAACUCCAAGGGAAUGUUGAUAAGGGACUUUCCGAUUGAAUUUUCCUCGGUGUUCGGUAUAUUUGUGCUUUUACUUUUUUGAUAAAGAUAUAUGUUUUACAAAAUUAAUGACUUUUUAGUUGUGCACAUAAAUUGGCUAACCUUUGCUUUUCUCUGACUAUUUCUCUCUUGGGAAAAUAUAUCUUUGCAUCAAUAAAUAGAGAAAUGGUCAAACUUUGAUGAAGAUAAUGAAGUAUAUCAACUAGAUUUUAGCAAGGGCUAUAAGUCAAGUAAAGUCUUUACUUUCAAUAUUAUUUUAGAAUUUUUGAUUAUUAUGUUUUUUACAAUGAUCAUAAAUUAAUGACUUAUUGCUACCUUAUUUGUAUUGAUAUGUUUCUUCGUGUAAUCUAUGAACAUAAUGUACGUAUGUAUUAAGUUCAAUUGUAUUGAUAUGUUUCUUCAUUUACGUAUGUAUUAAGUUCAAUUGUAUUGAUAUGUUUCUUCAUUUCAUCUAUGAACAUAAUGUACGUAUUUAAUAAGUUCAAUUGACAAAAGCUGUUUGUAUGUCUCCCGGUGAAUGCUGUAUUUAAUGUUUGCCUUAUAUUCUUCUUGUUUUAUACAUGACUAACUUUAUUAGCACUAACACAUUGACAAUAAAUGGUUAUGGCAACAAAUUAAAGACAAACUACAAUAACAUAUAUACAAUGAAAGAGUGACAGUGUAAAAGUAUGAGAGAAAUAUAUAAAAAUAAAAGAGAAGCAUAUACAUUAUUACAGAAAUCGAGUACCUUUUAAUAAUGAGUUUCUCACCAACAAGCAUUCAUUCAAAUAGUUGACAACAAUUUUUAAUAUUGUUUGGGAAUUAUUAUUUAGAAUUGAUAUAAGCAAGUUAUAUGAUAAAGAAGGUAAUUUGUUGUUCAAUAGGACAUUAUUUAUUUUUUAAUGAGGUUAUCUCUCACAUAGUUAUAAGAGGAACAUUUUAAAAGAAAAUGUAGUUCAUCUUCAAUGUCUCCAUUGUUGCAGCAAAGACAUACCCUAUUCUGCUUUGGUAUUUUUAGAUAUCGCCUCUUUCAAUAAAUAAAGUAUGAGCACCUAACCUCAAUCUACAUAAUGUUGAUCUAUCACAUUUGGAUUUGCAUAGAUCAACAUACGAGGGUCC